RNAcentral lists this transfer RNA (85 nucleotides) under Curvibacter sp. APW13. Its description in RNAcentral is "tRNA-Leu". It matches the Rfam family "tRNA". Rfam says of the family: Transfer RNA (tRNA) molecules are approximately 80 nucleotides in length. Their secondary structure includes four short double-helical elements and three loops (D, anti-codon, and T loops). The record is from RNAcentral. Lineage: Bacteria; Pseudomonadati; Pseudomonadota; Betaproteobacteria; Burkholderiales; Comamonadaceae.
GCCCAGGUGGCGGAAUUGGUAGACGCACUAGUUUCAGGUACUAGCGAGUAAUGUCGUGGGGGUUCGAGUCCCUUCCUGGGCACCA